GCCGGGUGCGGUGGCACUUGCCUGUAGUCCCAGCUACUCGGGAGGCUGAGGUGGGAGGAUCGCUUGAGCCCAGGAGUUCUGGGCUGUAGUGCGCUAUGCCGAUCGAGUGUCCGCACUAAGUUCGGCAUCAAUAUGGUGACCUCCCAGGAGCGAGGGACCACCAGGUUGCUUAAGAAGGGGUGAACUGGCCCAGGUCGGAAAUGGAGCAGGUUAAAACUCCCAUGCUGAUCAGUAGUGGGAUCUCUCCUUUGAAUAGCCACUGCACUCCAGCCUGGGCAACACAGCGGGACCCCCGUCUCU
RNAcentral lists this signal recognition particle RNA (300 nucleotides) under Saimiri boliviensis boliviensis (Bolivian squirrel monkey). Its description in RNAcentral is "Metazoan signal recognition particle RNA (ENSSBOG00000007704.1)". It matches the Rfam family "Metazoan signal recognition particle RNA". Rfam says of the family: The signal recognition particle (SRP) is a universally conserved ribonucleoprotein. It is involved in the co-translational targeting of proteins to membranes. The eukaryotic SRP consists of a 300-nucleotide 7S RNA and six proteins: SRPs 72, 68, 54, 19, 14, and 9. Lineage: Eukaryota; Metazoa; Chordata; Mammalia; Primates; Cebidae. The record is from Rfam by way of RNAcentral.